UGAUCUUGGACUCAGUGAUGGGAGGGUUCACUAUCAGUGUCAUAGUGAAUGAUGGGUAAGUGCCCUCAGGAUGUUAUCGGCAAUAAAGCUCUAUUCUCACUGUGUCAUUGAGGCUGUGCUUUUUUGUCCUUUAAUCUUAAUUUUAAAACAUUCACAUAAUACUUUUUCUUUGUUGUUCAACUUCCUGUUUCCCUCCGUGUGUGGGUGGGCGUCAGACCUCCUCACUCACUUCCGCUUUUGGGAAUUUCGACACCAUGCGCAGGAUCAAAGUGGCCCAGAACACGUGCAGCGCUUGCAGGAUCAUCAACAAGACGUUAAAGAAGUAGUAGCCAAAAAAAGGCUGGAAGGUCUCCAUGGACAGCACCAGGGUGGUGUGGAUGAUUCUGCCGACAAGCAGGUCCCAGAACCAGGGCCUCUGGGAAAAAAAAAAAAAGAAAGAAUUCCAGUGAUGAAAAAAAAAAAGGCUGAAGCCGUUUCUGGCUUUACUCACGUCAAUCAAACACAGGAGUCCGCCCAUGAAGGACGUGAGGUAGAAGAAAAACCUCCACCUGGACAGAAGAGGUCAGUAAGGUCAGACGUGCCUCACCCUGACGGUGUCGCUCACUAGAGGAUUUGCAGUGACCUACGCUGCUUCACUGAACUUCUUGGUCUGCGAGGGUCGGUCUUGAGACCUGCGCAGUCGGAACCAGGUCUCAAUCUGUCGCUGGCUUUUUCCACUGAGUUCCAUUAAACUGGCUAUUUGACUCUGGAAACCAAAAACAUGCGGAGUGACCACACAGAUAUGCUUGGCUAAAGUCAGUCAUCGUGUCAGAUUGUUCUAUGAUUUCACACGCUGCACUUCUUACAGUGUGUUCCGAAGCAUCCAUUGUUCGGCUCUUCUCUUAAAUCACUUUGAUUUACGCUCCACCAUGAAAGGCUCUUCAUAAAUAUGUUUGAUGGAUCGAGUGACUUUAAACUCACGAGGUACAAUCAAAGCAAACCACAGGCUGCAACUCCCUUCAGCCCAAACAAGAUUCGUGGGAGAUUUCUCCGCCCCCUGCUGGGAUUACCUGCGUGGGAUGCCUGCUCUGCCCAGUGUAAAAGGACUCCAGCUUUGGGGAGGGGGCCACAGCCCUCACAGGUCUAUUCUUCACCCCCAAACAUCUGCCCAUGGGCGGGGCGCAGCACCUGUGGGUCAGAGACAAACAAAAGGGCAGUGUGUUUGGUCUCAUGAUGGCUGGAGGGCCUCAUCUUACAGGCCCGCCUGAGGGCAAAGUAUAUUGGUCUGUCGCCGACACGGUGGAGCCACAAGAUUCAAUAAAAAGAACGCCUCGACUUUAAUGAUGAGAUAUUUAUUCUGGCGGAAAGGCCCGGUUUUGCCUCUCGUACCUCUCAAACAUGCAUCUGAGCACCAGAAAUCCCAGAGCGAGUGGCAGACUCAUGAGAAGAUCCAGAGGCUGUGGUCGGCUGGAGUCAGAAAGCUUGUCCAUGUCUUCCCAUGUGACACCAGGAGGAAGCCAGUAGUCUUGUUUCCAAAUGUCAGGCAGCAGGUCCAUUUGCUCUGCGGGAGGAAAUUGGAGUUAGAACACGUGAAAUUGAAUAAAAACCACACUUGAUAAAAAGAUGUCACAGUUUAGAGAUUGAUUUGCUGGAAAAUAGGUCAAUAACAGAGUUAUGAUUUAGUAGAACUGAGUAAAAUACAAUAUAAUCCACCCAAAUAAUACACAAUAUAAUCCAAAACAUAUUUCACUGAAGCUUUCAGUGAAAUACAGGCUAACUUAACCGUCAGUUAAUUUGCAUAUAUGUUGGUUAACAUUGCACCAUUGACUUUCAGUGAGAUACAAGGUCACAUGACCUGGUCAAAACAGGUAGAAACCGAACAAUUUGACUUAUAAAAACACAUCACACAAUCAAAUCACUGCAAUAAAUCAACUUUAACAGAGACAAAAUUCAGCAACAUUUUUGAUGCUUUUCUCAUUCACUUCCUGAGCACAGCAUCUUCUUCAGGUCUCCUUUGUGUCUGCGUUAUCGAAGCGCUGCGAUGCUACCGCCACCUGCUGGCCAAUUGCACUCACUGCUGAAUAUUAUGAGCUCAAAAUAUGUGGAUAAAAUCUGUGAAAUUCCGUUUUUAAAAAAUCACAGUGUGGAUGGAAGUGAGCUGUUUGGUGAAUGUAUGCACUGUCCGGGUGCCUUCCUAGUUCUGGCUAACAACGCGGCGUCUGCUUCAAUGCUUGAAUGAAGAAGCAGAUGGAUGUUUGGAAGAGAACUGAGACAGAAUGAGGCAAAGCUCAACCACCAAGAAAUUAAUGGGAAAAAAGGUGGCAGUGAAUGAAGACAGACUUGGCUGAGAAGUACGAACUAGAUCCCACUAAAAUAUCAGCGAGAAUGUGGGACACAAAGUUUCGAUCCAAUUCCGAUGAUGUUCAAAUGAGGCAAAAUGAAGGUGCACAGGAAAGUGUGGCGUGGUCGCGAUGAAGGACCUAACCAGAGUCUUCAUGGACCAUGGCUUCACGUCCAACAGUUGGGGAGACUUGAGCUACGUGUAGAUGCUGGACUUGCUGGUACUUUUGGCAGCAUCAAGAAAAACUACUUUUGAGGUCUUUUUUUGGAUUCAAUUUUGGCAAAUAAACGUGCACUAACUGUACUACUACCUUGAGCUUAUGAGCAUUAAAAGGCUGACUAUUUCUGAGCCGUAAACACAGACGUCUUCCACAUUCCAUCCAACAGGCUUGUAAAGGCUUCGCCGUCAACUGUCGCACAAUGAGCCCUAAAACCCACCUUUAGACUCAUCGACCCAAACCGGGGUUAUAAAGUCAAUACAUAAAAGUGUAAGUGUCAUA
Synchiropus splendidus (mandarinfish) is the source of this 2819-nucleotide long non-coding RNA. RefSeq lists it as uncharacterized. Lineage: Eukaryota; Metazoa; Chordata; Actinopteri; Syngnathiformes; Callionymidae. The transcript is spliced from 3 exons. The record is from RefSeq and is a predicted model, not a curated record.